RNAcentral lists this ribosomal RNA (372 nucleotides) under uncultured bacterium. RNAcentral describes it as "bacterial SSU rRNA". It matches the Rfam family "Bacterial small subunit ribosomal RNA", at positions 525 to 896 of the family's 1533-position model. The record is from RNAcentral.
ACAGAGGGUGCAAGCGUUAAUCGGAUUUACUGGGCGUAAAGCGUGCGUAGGUGGUCUGUUAAGUCAGGCGUGAAAUCCUCGGGCUCAACCCGAGAACUGCGUUUGAUACUGAUAGACUCGAGUGUGGUAGAGGAUAGUGGAAUUCCCGGUGUAGCGGUGAAAUGCGUAGAUAUCGGGAGGAACAUCAGUGGCGAAGGCGGCUAUCUGGACCAACACUGACACUGAGGUACGAAAGCGUGGGUAGCAAACAGGAUUAGAUACCCUGGUAGUCCACGCCCUAAACGAUGGGAACUAGACGUCGGGAAGCUUGUCUUCUUGGUGUCGCAGCUAACGCAAUAAGUUCCCCGCCUGGGGAGUACGGUCGCAAGAUUA